CUCCUUACCUGGCAGGGGAGCUAUCAUGAUCACGAAGGUGGCUUUUCCAGGGCGAGCCUCACCCACUGCACUCCGAGUGUGCUGGCCUUUGCGAUCUCCCCAAGUGCCGGAAACUCAACCGCAUCAUUUGUGGUAGUGGAGGACUGUGCUGGCACUCUCCCCUG
This is a small nuclear RNA of Phyllostomus discolor (pale spear-nosed bat), 164 nucleotides long. RefSeq annotates it as U1 spliceosomal RNA. The record is from RefSeq and is a predicted model, not a curated record. The transcript has a single exon. NCBI's taxonomy places the organism in Eukaryota, Metazoa, Chordata, Mammalia, Chiroptera, Phyllostomidae.